GAGGGAGGAGAAGAAACAGCUGAGGGCAGAUCUGGAUGAGAAGGAUGAAAUGAUACAGCAGUUGAAGGCACUUCUGGCUGAGAGAGAGCAGUUACCGAUAAAGGAUGCAUCGUGCGGCACUGUCCUGAACGAGGAUGGAGACAGUCUCCAGGAGCUGCUGCAGGGAGUGAGAGAGGUACGGCCGUCUGGUUUAAAAAAAAAAAAAAUCUGAAAUAUUACAGGAGACCGCAGAGGAAGCAGACUGUUCAUUAAUGAACCUGCUCUGUGUAGCUCAUCCAGGUCCAAGGCGAGUUGAAGCAGCAGAAGCCACUGAGUCCUAGAGCCACCCGGAAAGCUGAGCUUCAACAGGCCAAUCAAAUCAUGCAGGCUCUUAAGGAUGAAGUUGAGUAUUUAAGGAACGAGAGGACGUUACUCAGAAAGGAUCUUCAAGAGGCUGCUGAAACGGUGAGAGCACUGAAUGGACUGGAUC
Long non-coding RNA from Ictalurus punctatus (channel catfish), 469 nucleotides. NCBI's taxonomy places the organism in Eukaryota, Metazoa, Chordata, Actinopteri, Siluriformes, Ictaluridae. The record is from Ensembl.